RNAcentral lists this ribosomal RNA (450 nucleotides) under uncultured bacterium. RNAcentral's name for it is "partial 16S ribosomal RNA". It matches the Rfam family "Bacterial small subunit ribosomal RNA", at positions 338 to 795 of the family's 1533-position model. The record is from RNAcentral.
CCUACGGGGGGCAGCAGUGGGGAAUUUUCCACAAUGGGCGAAAGCCUGAUGGAGCAACGCCGCGUGUGUGAUGAAGGUCUUCGGAUCGUAAAGCACUUUCGACCGGGACGAAAAACCUCUGGCUAACAUCCAGGGGCCUGACGGUACCGGGAGAAGAAGCACCGGCUAACUCUGUGCCAGCAGCCGCGGUAAUACAGAGGGUGCAAGCGUUGUCGGGAAUUGCGGGGAGUAAAGUUCGUAUAUGCGGUUUGAAAGCCCAUGGCUUAACCAUGGAAGUGCGUCUGAAACUGCCGAGCUUGAGUGCCGGAGAGGAUGGCGGAAUUCCGCAGGUAGAGGUGAAAUUCGUAGAUAUGCGGAGGAACACCGGUGGCGAAGGCGGCCAUCUGGACGGUAACUGACGCUGAGACGCGAAAGCGUGGGGAGCAAACAGGAUUAGAUACCCUUGUAGUC